CAACCCUUAAGCCUCUGUUGCUUAGUGUUGGGGGCCUGUAGCGUAGUGCCAUAGCUCCCUAAAGUUAGUGGCGGAGUUGGUGUAUACUCUAGACGUAGUAAAUUUUUUUUAUCUCGCCUAUGGUAUGUGCUGAAUCUAGCCGUAAAACCCCCCGAACUUCUAAGG
RNAcentral lists this unclassified non-coding RNA (165 nucleotides) under uncultured Xylariaceae. RNAcentral's name for it is "sequence contains ITS2". Lineage: Eukaryota; Fungi; Ascomycota; Sordariomycetes; Xylariales; Xylariaceae. The record is from RNAcentral.